Molecule: long non-coding RNA, 2004 nt
Filed under: Homo sapiens (human)
Lineage: Eukaryota; Metazoa; Chordata; Mammalia; Primates; Hominidae
Description: AGK divergent transcript, transcript variant 5 (AGK-DT)
Source: RNAcentral
GGGUUCCGCCGCGGGGCUGCGAGCGCGCGCGGGCCAGUUCGGGCCGGGGGCGGGAACCGGCUCGGAUGCUCAGGGACGGUGGGGGUGGCAGGGCCCACCGGCUUGAGGCUGCCUUUCCCGGCGUUCCCUCGUUUAUUGGCUCACUCUUCCUUUCAUCCAUCCAUCCUUUGCGCAACAAUAUUUGAUGGGAAGCCUGCCAAGUCCAAUGUGAGUCAGGCAUCUCUCCUGGUGGCUGUCUUCCAUGUGGUGACUUAUGUAUCCAGGAUCCUUCUACUGUGUUUCUCCUCCAUUGCGAAGUCCUUCACUUCCAGCACCUGAGACAUUUUUUGGGUAUAUCUACAAGUGGCAUAUAUCACUUCUGCCCACAUUCACCUGGGUAGAACUCAAUCACAUUGUUUCACCUAACUGCAAGUGAGGCUGUGGAAUAUAGUCUCCCUAUGUGCCCAAGCAGAAGAAACAGGAUUGUGUGACUCUACAAUGUGUGAUUGCUCCUGGUGAAUCAAAAGGAUAAAGCUGCUGAUUCUGCAAUUUGAUAACCCAACCAUGCUGACCUCAAAGUGUAGUCAAUCCAUGAAGUUCCUCCCACCACAGCUCAUCCUGAACACUGCCCACCUGAGUCAUCAAGAAAGGUGACAGAAAUGUGCCCCCACAUUGAGGGUUGGGGCAUCAGGAUGGGACUGGAAGAAGAGUCUACGAAGGACCUCAGGACAUUCAUAAUAAUCAUGAACAACUUUGAAGGUACAAGGUGAGGACACGUGCAAGCCCAGGUGAUUCCUUGAGUAUAGGAGUGGAAAGUGAAAGGAGUUUACAUCUGGAGCCUAGUUUUCCUCUGCUAAGUAGCAGAUUUCACCUGAUUCUUGGCCACAAAGUUUCAAGGGAACCAGAGCUAAUGAAGACAGCAUGGAAGGGCACCGCCGAGACCUACCUGUGGGAGUCCACCUCACCCUCAAGAACAGCUACCAUUUUAACACAGAUGGAUAAACCCCAUGAAAGUGAACUUCCUAAAUGCAAAUUCUGAUCUUGAAGCCCCAGCUGGCACAUCUACUGGAGACCCUCCCAAGCAACAAGAUGUAGAUGCUUUAGAGAUAACAAACUAUACAAGUUGUCUUCCAUUCUUUCUCCUUCCUCUAUUUUCAACACGGAUAAAAUACAUAUAUAUUUAUCUUGCUGAGCUCAGUAGGAUUAUUUAGCUUUAUUUCCAUGGCUGCCUUUUCUUAAUGUAAUAGAAUUUCCAAUCGAGCUUAUUACUUCCUUCCGUCACAAGCCUGAGGUCCUUUCACACCCAUCCUGUCCUUGGCAAAGAUCUUUGGAAAGUAGCCUGGGACAUACCUAGUGGUAAGCCACCUGCUCUGGGUUGAGGGUGGAUCUAUUCUAGUCAGAGGCUUUGUGAUCUGGACAAAGGAAUUGAGUAUGUGGCUGUCAAACUGUCAGGCAAUACUAAAUUUGGCUGGCCAGCUGAAUUCUAGCAGAAAAUCAUGCAAAAUAAGGUUUAGCAAUUGGGGAAAAAUGGCCCACAGGAAAAACAAAGGGAUGAAAUUCCGUAGGACUACACGGCCAUAGAAUUCUAACUUGAGGGCUGCAACCAGCUAUGUGACCUUGUAGUACAAGGACCAGUCUUCAGAUACAAAAUAGAGUUUGGAGUUAAAGGGAUCUUUGAGAAGAAGCCAUUAUCCACCCCCUCCUCCCAAUUUUAUAUGCCCUAAGAAAAAGGUUUCUUUCAACUUAGAAAGGUAUGAUUCUUGAAGUGCACUUCCUCCGAGUUUUCCUGAGCCUCUCAAUCAAAAUGACUUGCACCUGCCCAUCCAUUCCCAUUGGCUUAUGCUCCUACCCUGCAGUAUUGGCUUCAUUAUGCCUCACCUUGUACACCUGUCUGAUUCCUCUCCUAGAUUAUCAGCACCUUGACAAUGGGCUCGUAUCUUGUGUAUCCCUGAAUUUCCAGGGACAAUGAUAGUGCCUGCCACAUAAUUGAUGGUCAAUAAAUUUUGGUUAAAUAGUAACAAGAAA